GUGUUGCAUGAAAGGAAAGAAGGUGAGCACUCCCCUUGACAAGGAUAGUAGAGCCCUCAGGCCUAACAAGUCUGACGGCAAGGCACCACAGCUACCCUGCCCAAUUUCCU
RNAcentral lists this non-coding RNA (110 nucleotides) under Aotus nancymaae (Ma's night monkey). Lineage: Eukaryota; Metazoa; Chordata; Mammalia; Primates; Aotidae. The record is from RNAcentral.